GAUUAUGGCUCAGGACGAACGCUGGCGGCGUGCUUAACACAUGCAAGUCGAGCGAUGAAGCUCUUCGGAAGUGGAUUAGCGGCGGACGGGUGAGUAACACGUGGGUAACCUGCCUCAUAGAGGGGAAUAGCCUUCCGAAAGGAAGAUUAAUACCGCAUAAGAUUGUAAUAUCGCAUGAUAUAGCAAUUAAAGGAGUAAUCCGCUAUGAGAUGGACCCGCGUCGCAUUAGCUAGUUGGUGAGGUAACGGCUCACCAAGGCGACGAUGCGUAGCCGACCUGAGAGGGUGAUCGGCCACAUUGGGACUGAGACACGGCCCAGACUCCUACGGGAGGCAGCAGUGGGGAAUAUUGCACAAUGGGGGAAACCCUGAUGCAGCAACGCCGCGUGAGUGAUGACGGUCUUCGGAUUGUAAAGCUCUGUCUUCAGGGACGAUAAUGACGGUACCUGAGGAGGAAGCCACGGCUAACUACGUGCCAGCCGCAGC
Molecule: ribosomal RNA, 485 nt
Filed under: uncultured bacterium
Lineage: Bacteria
Description: bacterial SSU rRNA
Rfam family: Bacterial small subunit ribosomal RNA
Source: RNAcentral